This 305-nucleotide unclassified non-coding RNA is filed under the name plant metagenome. Its description in RNAcentral is "partial contains 5.8S ribosomal RNA, internal transcribed spacer 2, and large subunit ribosomal RNA". The stretch from base 1 to 105 matches the Rfam family "5.8S ribosomal RNA", at positions 50 to 154 of the family's 154-position model. The record is from RNAcentral.
GAAAUGCGAUAAGUAAUGUGAAUUGCAGAAUUCAGUGAAUCAUCGAAUCUUUGAACGCACAUUGCGCCCGCCAGGAUUCUGGCGGGCAUGCCUGUUCGAGCGUCAUUUCAACCAUCAAGCCCCCGGCUUGUGUUGGGGACCUGCGGCUGCCCGCAGGCCCUGAAAAACAGUGGCGGGCUCGCUGUCACACCGAGCGUAGUAGCAUACAUUCUCGCUCAGGGCGUGCUGCGGGUUCCGGCCGUUAAACGACCUUCAUAACCCAAGGUUGACCUCGGAUCAGGUAGGAAGACCCGCUGAACUUAAGC